AUGAAAUUCUCUAUCUCAUCACAUCUCCUCUCUGUGUGUCUGUCUGUCUUUGUUUCUCUGUCUUUGUCUCUGUCUCUCUGUCUCUCUCUGGCUUUCUCUGUCUCUCUCCCUCAUCAUCUGUCUCUCUAUAUCAAGGUCUCUUUCUGUCUCUGUCCCUCCUCUCUCUUUGUCUCUAUCUCUCUUCCUCUCUGUCCCCAUUUUCUUUCUUUCUCUGCCUCUCUUUUCUCUUUCCUCUUGUCUUCCUUUAAUGAUCUUAUCCUCCAAAAAGUUGAGAAACCAUCAAAGGAAACUGAUUCCCAUCAAAGAAUAACUGGUCAAGCUAUUUGGGGAAGAAGAAGAAGAAGAAGAGCAUCAAAUAAGGAAUAAGAGCACUGCUUAUCAUUGAUGAGAGGAUUUUAAGCAAUGACAGAGGAGGGACUGCUACAGUUUGUUUUUCUUUUGUUUUCUAGCUUGAUAUCAAGAAUUUACAUGGUGCCUUGUAAGGCUGGCAAACUGUUUUAAAAAUACUGUUUCAUUUUAUCUUCACAACGACCUUGGGAGGGAGAUACUAUUAUUAUCUCCAUUUUAUAGAUGAAGAAACUGAGGUAUAAAGAAGUUAAAAUAUUUUCCCAGGGUCAUAUUGCCAGCAUAUGUAUGUCACGAUUUAAACUCAAGUCUUCUUGAAUACAAGUUUAUCGUUCUCUUUACAGGGCCAUUUUGCUGCCUCUGUCAAAUAGGGACUAGAAAGGAACAAACAUGAAUGACUAAUGUGCAGUUAAAAUAUAAAAUGCAUCAGGAAAGAGUAAGAGAGUACCUAGCUGACUUUGAUAAGCUUGUCACUAACCCCAGAUCAACUAUUUUAAGGAGACUAAAAGAACUAGUAUAUGUCAUUACUGAAUCACUGUCAAAUUUUUUUAAUGUCCUUGAUCAAUGAAGGAGGCAAAGAAAGACUAUAGAAAGGGAAAUGUCCCAAGUGUCUAGAAAGGGAAGCAAAUAAGCUACUAUGAUCUAUUGAGUUUGGCUUUGAUUUUUGAUAAAAUUCUAAAAUGUACUAUUAAAGGAACAAUUAAUGAACAUCUAGUAAAGGAAUCACUGAUCACAGAGAUAUACUUGAGUCUGAAUGACCACUGGAUCAUUUUGCUCCCAAUUAGUUGUGAAUCUAUUUUUUUUACAUUUUAAACUGUUUUCCCAUCCAUCAUUUUGCAUGAUCCUCAUAACUACCUUAUAUAGUAUUUAGAGCAUAGUAUUACACUUUCUAGAAACAAAGUUUUCCCACAGUCAUUUGGUUAGUCAGUAGCAGAACCUGGACUAGAUUCUAGGAUUCAAACCAAAGAAAGAGAAUGGGUUCACAGGUUUAGAGCUGAAAAGUCUCUUAGCACCUAUUGAAUCUAGGACCUUCAUUUAAAAAAAAUAUUAUCAUGCAAAAUACACUUCCAUAUUGGUCAUUGUUGUAAGAGCACACUCAUAAAAAACAAAUCCCCCAAAUCAAACCAUAAAUACACUGAUGUUAAAGAUAGUAUGCUUUGGUUCACAUCUGACUCCAAGGGUUCUUUCUCUGGAGGUAGAUAACAUUCCCCAUCAUAAGUUUUUUCUGGAUUAUCUCAGGUCAUUACAUUGCUGAGAGCAGUCAAGUGUUCACAGUUGAUCAUUGUGCUGUUGAUCAUUAUUGUUACUGUGUACAAUGUUCUCCCAGUUCUAUUUAUUUCACUAUGCAUCAGUUCAUGCAGAUCUUUCCAGCUUUUUCUGAAAUCACCUUGCUUAUUUCUUUUAGUACAAUAGCCUUCCAUCACAAAUGUGUACCAACUGGCUUGAUGAUUUAUUUAAGCCUGACAGAAAAUGACUAAUUCUCUUCAACUAAACACAAGACAUUUCCUGUUUGGCCUAAUUUGACAUGUACCUAGCUCCUAAUGUUUAUUUGGUAAUUCAGUCAAAGAGAUGUUUUUAUCUGACAAAAGAAUUAACAUAUAGAGCACCUUAUUAGUUACAGUAUUCAGACUUGAAGAGCAUGGGAUAAACUUCCUACACAGAUAAGAAAACAGAGACCCUGAAAUGGUAAAGUUACUUACUCAAGGUUACCUAGAUAGUAAUUACAAGAGUCAAGAUUAACCCCAUAUUUUCUGUUUUUAAAUUUGAUGAUCUUCCCUAUUGACAAUAUUGAAAAAUUAGCAAAAUUUGUUUUCUGUGCUCCAGUCUGCUAGUUCUUCUUUCUAGGGGCAUUUCUUCUACCUACUUAGGUACACAAUGUUAUCAAAACCCGCCCAGUUGUUACUAUUCUGUUAGUUUGUUUUUUCUUUCUUCAUAUUCAUAUUUAUUUAUCUGAGUUCAUGACGUUUCCAUACACAUACUAGUAGAAUUCAGUCCAAUUCAACAAGCAUUCAUUAAUUACCUACUACAGGGGCAGCUAGAUGGCUCAGUGGAUAAAGAACCUGGAGAUGGGAGGUCCUAGGUUCAAAUUGGUCUCAAGUACCCUGGGCAAGUCUUUUAACCCCAAUUAUCUAUCCCUUACCACUCCUCUACCUUGGAAUCAAUAUUUAGUAUGAAUUCUAAAACAGAAGUUAUUUUUUGUUGUUGUUUUUAAAACGCCUAUUGCAUGUCAGGCACUAUGCUAGGCACUGUAAGUUAUAACUCCCUGUUCAUUGAUUUCAACUCCACAGAAUAAGAUGUCUCCUCCGUGUCCCCUCACUUCACUUUCUUGCUUCCUUUUGUGUGUUGUCUCCUUCCAUUAGAUUGUAAACUCCUUGAAGGAUAGUGCCUGGCACACAGUAGACACUUAACAAAUGGUUAUUGGACUGGAUUGGAUACAAAGAAUCCUUGUCCUCAAGGAGCUUAUACUUAUGUUUUAAAAUCCUUACUUUUUGUCUUAGAAUUAAAUGAUACGUUUCAAUUCUAAGGCAGAAGAGUGGUAAGGGCUAGGCAAUUUCUAUAAAGUGAUCUGUCUAGGAUCACACAAUUAGAAAACACUCUAUUGUGUUCCUCCACAGAUCAGAUCCAAAUGAAAUGAUUUGAAGCACAUGAGUAUGAUGGAAUGAGGUCAAAGAAAUGACCGGUUUCCUGACUUUAGGCAGGGAUCACUUCAGUUGAAGUUCCUUAAGGACAUGGGGUUAUCUUUUUAUGCCUUGAUUCCCCAGUGGUCAGCACAACACUUGGCAUGCCAACACAUUUAAGAAGUGCUUCUUGGACUGACAUGAAUUCUAUUUUGCCAGGAGCCUCUCUACCAGUCAGCAUCUUCCUCAAGUCUGUUUAUUGAUAAGAGUUGACUAUUAUCAAUCAAUCAUUGAUUAUCUGUUACUGCCAGUGACUACCACCAAAUCUUUUCUUUUAUAAAAGUUUUAACUUUAUUAAUCAAAUUAGACUAAUAGCAAUUAAAAGUUCCCUGUUCUCCUACUAAAACUUAGUAUAGGAUUUAGGCACUCAUCUCUUAUUUUUGGUUUUUGUGAUUUUUGGUUUCAACCCUUACUUUCUGUCUUAGAAUCAAUACUAAGUCUAAGUUCCAAGGCAGAAGAGUGAUAAGAGCUAGGCAAUACAGUUAGGAAGUAUCUGAGGCCAGACCUGACUCUCCACUAAGCUGCCCCAAGACUAUCAUUUCUGAAAUAAAGGAUCACCAAGUUUCA
Molecule: long non-coding RNA, 3590 nt
Organism: Monodelphis domestica (gray short-tailed opossum)
Lineage: Eukaryota; Metazoa; Chordata; Mammalia; Didelphimorphia; Didelphidae
Source: Ensembl